UACGUAGGGGGCAAGCGUUGUCCGGAAUCAUUGGGCGUAAAGGGUGCGUAGGCGGGUCUUUAAGUCAGGGGUGAAAUCCUGGAGCUCAACUCCAGAACUGCCUUUGAUACUGAGGAUCUUGAGUUCGGGAGAGGUGAGUGGAACUGCGAGUGUAGAGGUGAAAUUCGUAGAUAUUCGCAAGAACACCAGUGGCGAAGGCGGCUCACUGGCCCGGUACUGACGCUGAGGUGCGAAAGCGUGGGGAGCAAACAGG
RNAcentral lists this ribosomal RNA (253 nucleotides) under uncultured bacterium. Its description in RNAcentral is "partial 16S ribosomal RNA". It matches the Rfam family "Bacterial small subunit ribosomal RNA", at positions 524 to 776 of the family's 1533-position model. The record is from RNAcentral.